RNAcentral lists this ribosomal RNA (454 nucleotides) under Talaromyces flavus. RNAcentral describes it as "SSU rRNA". It matches the Rfam family "Bacterial small subunit ribosomal RNA", at positions 414 to 921 of the family's 1533-position model. Lineage: Eukaryota; Fungi; Ascomycota; Eurotiomycetes; Eurotiales; Trichocomaceae. The record is from RNAcentral.
CGAUUAAUUCGUAUAAAAUUCUAAAUAGGAUAAUGAUAAUGACAAUUUCCUAUUUAUAAGUCUUGACCAAAUUACGUGCCAGCAGUCGCGGUAAUACGUAGAAGACUAGUGUUAGUCAUCUUUAUUAGGUUUAAAGGGUACCUAGACGGUAAAUAACACUUGAGUAGAGUACUUAUUUACUAGAGUUUUAUGUGAGAAGGAAGAACUUCUGGAGUAGUGAUAAAAUACGUUGAUACCAGAGGGACUGGUAACGGCGAAGGCAUCCUUCUAUGUAAAAACUGACGUUGAGGGACGAAGGCUUGGGUAGCAAGAAGGAUUAGAUACCCUAGUAGUCCAAGCAGAAAAUGAUGAAUGUCAUAGACUAGAUAAAAAUUUAGUCUAUAAAUGAAAGUGUAAGCAUUCCACCUCAAGAGUACUAUGGCAACAUAUAAACUGAAAUCAUUAGACCGUUUCU